UCCGGUUUGUCACCGGCAGUCACUCUAGAGUGCCCAGCUUAACCUGCUGGCAACUAAAGUCAAGGGUUGCGCUCGUUGCGGGACUUAACCCAACAUCUCACGACACGAGCUGACGACAACCAUGCACCACCUGUCUGGCAUGUCCCGAAGGAAAGGCUUAUCUCUAAGCCGGUCAUGCCGAUGUCAAGACCUGGUAAGGUUCUUCGCGUUGCUUCGAAUUAAACCACAUACUCCACUGCUUGUGCGGGUCCCCGUCAAUUCCUUUGAGUUUCAGUCUUGCGACCGUACUCCCCAGGCGGAGUGCUUAAUGCGUUAACUUCGGCACCCAGGGUAUCGAAACCCCGAACACCUAGCACUCAUCGUUUACAGCGUGGACUAC
This 379-nucleotide unclassified non-coding RNA is filed under the name Saccharibacillus sacchari. RNAcentral's name for it is "contains 16S-23S intergenic spacer region". Lineage: Bacteria; Bacillati; Bacillota; Bacilli; Caryophanales; Paenibacillaceae. The record is from RNAcentral.